This 459-nucleotide ribosomal RNA is filed under the name uncultured archaeon. Its description in RNAcentral is "bacterial SSU rRNA". It matches the Rfam family "Archaeal small subunit ribosomal RNA", at positions 385 to 845 of the family's 1478-position model. The record is from RNAcentral.
UGCCAGCAUCAUAUGUUGGCUGUCCAGAUGUGUAAAAUACAUCUGUUAGCAAGGGCCGGGCAAGACCGGUGCCAGCCGCCGCGGUAACACCGGCGGCCCGAGUGGUGAUCGUGAUUAUUGGGUCUAAAGGGUCCGUAGCCGGUUUGGUCAGUCCUCCGGGAAAUCUGACGGCUCAACCGUUAGGCUUUCGGUGGAUACUGCCAGACUUGGAACCGGGAGAGGUAAGAGGUACUACAGGGGUAGGAGUGAAAUCUUGUAAUCCCUGUGAGACCACCUGUGGCGAAGGCGUCUUACCAGAACGGGUUCGACGGUGAGGGACGAAAGCUGGGGGCACGAACCGGAUUAGAUACCCGGGUAGUCCCAGCCGUAAACGAUGCUCGCUAGGUGUCAGGCAUGGCGCGACCGUGUCUGGUGCCGCAGGGAAGCCGUGAAGCGAGCCACCUGGGAAGUACGGCCGCA